Molecule: unclassified non-coding RNA, 2070 nt
Filed under: Hevea brasiliensis (rubber tree)
Lineage: Eukaryota; Viridiplantae; Streptophyta; Magnoliopsida; Malpighiales; Euphorbiaceae
Source: RNAcentral
AAAAAUCCAAACUUUUUGCAGUAGUUGAGGUAUCAGUUGCAAAUUGAAAGCAUCUUUUUCCUUAAAAAGCAAAAAUAUGUCCUCGGAUUUCUCCGGCGGAGUUCCAGACUUUCACGGCGGCGCCGGUAGAUCCAGCUUGAUUCCGAUGAACAACUCCCAGCCACAAAUUCAAUUAACCCAACGCCCUGACGGAGUUUCUCAGAAUCUCCACCGGAGACCUAUGUUCAUCGGGAAACGGUCACUCGCAGCCUUUCAACAGCAGCAACAGUUUCAGUUUCUACAACAACAACAGCAGCAACAAGGUUUGGGAUUUUAUCUACGUAACGUGAAGCCUAGAAAUUACCAGCAGGCAUCUCCAAUUUCUCCUCUAGAUUACUCUGUUUCUUCCUCGUUGAUUUCAUCUGAAUUUUCUCCGAUGACUCCACGCCAUCCUCUCCCGAUUUCCACGGCGAACACGAACGGGGUUUUAUCUUCUGGUAACCCGAAUUGUUCAGCAGUUGCUUCUUACCUAAAUCAGGUACAGAACAGUUUAUACCAGGAAUCAGAGGAAAAAAUGAUGAAUCGACUGCAUGAGUUAGAGAAACAGCUCCUAGAAGACAACAAUGAGGAGGAAGAAGAUACAGUCUCUGUUGUGACUAACAACGACGAGUGGUCGGAAACAAUAAAGAAUCUGAUUACUCCGACUAGUAACCACUUAUCCCCGGCAUCAUCUACGUCUUCAUGUUCUUCUUCUAUGGAAUCUCCGCCAGUAUCUUCUCCCAGGCAGUCUAUUGUCGAAGCUGCUACCGCAAUAAUCGACGGAAAAACCAAUGUUGCAGUACAGAUCCUCACGCGCCUCGCACAGGUAGCUGAUGUUAGAGGGUCUUCCGAACAGCGGCUGACGGCGUACAUGGUUUCAGCACUCCGAUCGCGCGUGAACUCCACGGAGUACCCACCGCCCGUGAUGGAGCUGCGUAGCAAAGAGCACGCAGUUUCAGCUCAAAACCUCUACGAGAUAUCCCCGUGUUUCAAGCUAGGAUUUAUGGCAGCUAAUUUCGCCAUUGUUGAAGCUGUAGCUGAUCAUCCCUCAAACAAAAUUCACGUCAUUGAUUUCGACAUAGGACAAGGUGGACAAUACUUGCAUUUACUACACGCGCUAGCUUCCAAGAAAACAGAUUAUCCCAUCAGCUUAAGAAUCACGGCGAUCACAACAGAGUUCACGGUCAGAGCUGAUCACAGUUUAAAAUCCAUUGAAGAUGAUCUGAGAAGUCUAGCAAACAAAAUCGGUAUUUCCUUGAUUUUCAAAGUAAUUUCACGUACAAUCACCGAUUUGAGUAGGGGAAAAUUAGGGAUUGAACACGACGAAGCUUUAGCAGUGAAUUUCGCAUACAGAUUAUAUAGAUUACCCGACGAGAGCGUAACAACAGAGAAUCUAAGAGACGAGCUUCUCCGGCGAGUGAAGGGGUUAUCACCAAAGGUGGUGACAUUAGUAGAGCAAGAGUUGAACGGGAACACGGCGGCGUUUGUGGCGCGUGUAAACGAGGCGUGUGGAUAUUACGGAGCAUUGUUGGAUUCACUGGAUGCAACUGUAUCAAGAGAGGAAACGGGUCGGGUCAAGAUCGAAGAAGGGCUGAGUCGUAAAUUAACAAACUCGGUAGCGUGUGAAGGUAGGGAUCGUUUGGAGAGAUGCGAGGUGUUUGGUAAAUGGAGGGCCCGAAUGAGUAUGGCUGGGUUCGGGCCGAGGCCCAUGAGUCAACAAAUUGCUGAUUCACUGCUUAAGAGGCUUAACUCGGGCCCACGUGGCAAUCCAGGAUUCAAUGUGAAUGAACAAAGUGGGGGUAUUAGGUUUGGAUGGAUGGGAAAAACCCUCACCGUUGCUUCUGCUUGGUGUUAACUUGUUACCACAAGAAUAAAAGUAUUUCUUUUUCCUUUUUAAAUUAGUAAUCAGUAUUAAAAGAUAUUGUGAUUUGUAUAAAAAAAACUCAUUGUAAUAUGGUGUACUAGAGGCUUUGUUAAUAGUAAAGUACCACUGUUGGUUAUCUGUCAAUUCUUAAAAAAAGAAGAGGAUAGACGAAUGCUGACAGGCUGACA